GGGAGGUAGUGACAAUAAAUAACAAUACGGGGUUCUUUCGGAUUUCGUAAUUGGAAUGAGUACAAUUUAAAUCUCUUAACGAGGAACAAUUGGAGGGCAAGUCUGGUGCCAGCAGCCGCGGUAAUUCCAGCUCCAAUAGCGUAUAUUAAAGUUGUUGCAGUUAAAAAGCUCGUAGUUGAAUUUCGGGAUCAAUACGUCGGUCGUGCCUCGGUACGUACUAACGUCAUUGAUUUCUCCCUUCUGACGAGCCGUGAUGUCAUUUAUUUGGUGUUGUGGGGAAUCAGGACUGUUACUUUGAAAAAUUAGAGUGUUUAAAGCAGGCUCACGCUUGAAUACAUUAGCAUGGAAUAAUGAAAUAGGACGUUUGAUUCUAUUUUGUUGGUUUCUAGGAUCGACGUAAUGAUUAAUAGGGAUAGUUGGG
RNAcentral lists this ribosomal RNA (421 nucleotides) under uncultured Glomeraceae. RNAcentral's name for it is "SSU rRNA". It matches the Rfam family "Eukaryotic small subunit ribosomal RNA", at positions 459 to 886 of the family's 1831-position model. The record is from RNAcentral. Lineage: Eukaryota; Fungi; Glomeromycota; Glomeromycetes; Glomerales; Glomeraceae.